CAGUAGCCGCGGUAAUACGGAGGGAGCUAGCGUUGUUCGGAAUUACUGGGCGUAAAGCGCGCGUAGGCGGUUACUCAAGUCAGAGGUGAAAGCCCGGGGCUCAACCCCGGAACUGCCCUUGAAACUAGGUGACUAGAAUCUUGGAGAGGUCAGUGGAACUCCGAGUGUAGAGGUGAAAUUCGUAGAUAUUCGGAAGAACACCAGUGGCGAAGGCGACUGACUGGACAAGUAUUGACGCUGAGGUGCGAAGGCGUGGGGAGCAAACAGGAUUAGAUACCCGUGUAGUCCCUGUCUCUUAUAC
RNAcentral lists this ribosomal RNA (301 nucleotides) under uncultured bacterium. RNAcentral describes it as "partial 16S ribosomal RNA". It matches the Rfam family "Bacterial small subunit ribosomal RNA", at positions 509 to 807 of the family's 1533-position model. The record is from RNAcentral.